RNAcentral lists this ribosomal RNA (468 nucleotides) under uncultured bacterium. RNAcentral describes it as "partial 16S ribosomal RNA". It matches the Rfam family "Bacterial small subunit ribosomal RNA", at positions 28 to 507 of the family's 1533-position model. The record is from RNAcentral.
GACGAACGCUGGCGGCGUGCUUAACACAUGCAAGUCGAACGGAAAGGCCCCGCAUGUGUGGGGUGCUCGAGUGGCGAACGGGUGAGUAACACGUGAGUAACCUGCCCUUGACUUUGGGAUAACUUAAGGAAACUGGGGCUAAUACCGGAUAGGAGCUCCUGCUGCAUGGUGGGGGUUGGAAAGUUUCGGCGGUUGGGGAGGGACUCGCGGCUUAUCAGCUUGUUGGUGGGGUAGUGGCUUACCAAGGCUUUGACGGGUAGCCGGCCUGAGGGGGUGCCCGGCACAAUUGGGACUGAGAUAGGGCCCGGACUCCUACGGGAGGAAGCAGUGGGGAAAUUUGAACAAUGGGCGGAAGCCGGAGGCAGCAACGCCGCGUGCGGGAUAACGGCCUUCGGGUGGUAAACCGCUUCCGCCUGUGACGAAGCAUGAGUGACGGUAAUGGGUAAAGAAGCACCGGCUAACUCCGUG